UCAAACACACUCCUUCACCCAGAGGCAAUGCAGAGUGCUCUUUAUAAUUUUUUUUUAAUAAGUCACAUAAAAUAUAUUUUAACAAUUUUAUUUUCUCCUUAGGCCUCCAAGUAACUUUGAAGUUUGUUUUACACAAGCUCUCACAGAGGCUGUGGGUGAUCAGCUGCAGUCCAGGGAGAGCCCCUGCUCAACUUAACAACCCUCACUCCCACCUAGGACACUGGAGCCAAACCGGAGCUGCUUUCCUGGGGAGGAAACUGAGAAACUGAACCAUAUUCUCUG
This 282-nucleotide long non-coding RNA is filed under the name Bos indicus x Bos taurus (hybrid cattle). Its description in RNAcentral is "lncRNA (ENSBIXG00005009959.1)". Lineage: Eukaryota; Metazoa; Chordata; Mammalia; Artiodactyla; Bovidae. The record is from RNAcentral.